AGACCGAAUCAAAGAACAUAAACAAAAUAUUUCCAAGGUAAGCCCUGAGAGCCUACGAGAAGGAUACCGAGAUUUCUUGGCAAAACCCACGAAUUCUAAAGAGCAUUUGUGACCAUGGGACCCUUCCCGCAGCGGAGGGGCUGGGGGGCCUGUGGGCCGGCCGGGGGCGGAGUGUCAUCGGCCAUCGGCGGGCUGACACGCUUGGUGCGGCCUGGAGGUGCGCAGUGCGGGGGAGCUUGUGAUGCCUUGCACUGCCCACACAGAAGGUUUGGUAUACCCCGCUCUUCCUUGUCUGCGGACAGCUUGGCUGGACUACGUUUUGGGUUCUAA
This 330-nucleotide long non-coding RNA is filed under the name Androctonus crassicauda. Lineage: Eukaryota; Metazoa; Arthropoda; Arachnida; Scorpiones; Buthidae. The record is from RNAcentral.